GUGCCAGCAGCCGCGGUAAUACAGAGGCUCCAAGCGUUAGGCGGAAUCACUGGGCUUAAAGCGUGCGUAGGCGGCCGACCAAGUGCCUUGUGAAAGCCCUCGGCUCAACCGAGGAAUAGCUGGGCAUACUGGUUGGCUUGAAUCAUCUAGGGGCAACUGGAACUGACGGUGGAGCGGUGAAAUGCGUAGAUAUCGUCAGGAACGCCGACGGUGAAAACAGGUUGCUGGGGAUGUAUUGACGCUGAUGCACGAAAGCCAGGGUAGCGAACGGGAUUAGAUACCCCUGUAGUCC
RNAcentral lists this ribosomal RNA (292 nucleotides) under uncultured bacterium. Its description in RNAcentral is "partial 16S ribosomal RNA". It matches the Rfam family "Bacterial small subunit ribosomal RNA", at positions 505 to 796 of the family's 1533-position model. The record is from RNAcentral.